This 450-nucleotide ribosomal RNA is filed under the name uncultured bacterium. RNAcentral's name for it is "partial 16S ribosomal RNA". It matches the Rfam family "Bacterial small subunit ribosomal RNA", at positions 338 to 795 of the family's 1533-position model. The record is from RNAcentral.
CCUACGGGUGGCUGCAGUCGAGAAUCUUCGGCAAUGGGCGCAAGCCUGACCGAGCGACGCCGCGUGCGGGAUGAAGGUCUUCGGAUUGUAAACCGCUGUCGGAGGGGAUGAAAUGCAUGGGGGUACUCCCCUGUGUUUGACAGAGCCUCGGAGGAAGCACGGGCUAAGUUCGUGCCAGCAGCCGCGGUAAUACGAACUGUGGGAACCAUAGUCGGAAACACUGGGCUUGAAGGGUGCGCAAGUCGCGUGUGAAAUCCCCCGGCUCAACCGGGGAACUGCGCUUGAAACUGGGGGGCUCGAGUGAGGUAGGGGUGUAUGGAACUUCCGGUGGAGCGGUGAAAUGUGUAGAUAUCGGAAGGAACGCCGGCGGCGAAAGCGGUACACUGGGCCUUGUCUGACGCUGAGGCACGAAAGCUAGGGGAGUGAACGGGAUUAGAUACCCCGGUAGUC